This 2856-nucleotide small RNA is filed under the name Pan troglodytes (chimpanzee). Its description in RNAcentral is "processed transcript". Lineage: Eukaryota; Metazoa; Chordata; Mammalia; Primates; Hominidae. The record is from RNAcentral.
CAAGGGUUGUGCUUGGGAAAAGUUGGACCUGUUAAUUAGAAGUAAAAUAUUUCCAAAUCAAUUUGGAAAUGACGUGAAGUGUGAGGGAAAGGGAUUCAUGAAAUUUAGGUAUAGGAGGCCCUGGAAAAGGACAUUUAUCCUAGAGGGCACAGGGGGUGUCUCUCUGGUAGGGGAAGGGUGGGGAGGUGGCUUUAUAAGAGUGGUCUGCCUUCUCCCUUUCUCACUUUUCCUCACCCCUUUUCUCUCUUCCCCCGCAAAGCUGCUUCCCUGCCCUGCCACCACCUUUAGUGCUUUGUCUUUUUUCCCCUUUGCCCAUGCUCAGCUGUUAACCCAUAAAGACUUCGUUGAUUUUGUGUGCAUAGUGGAUGGUAUGGCUGCAUUAAUCCCUUCACUGCCUGUAUACCCUAGAAUUUGUCCCUGACACUGACUUCAGAGCAUGGUUUGAGUUCAUCUCCCAUCAUUCCCCAUUGUUGUGCUUCCCGUAAAAACUGCCAGCUUUAUCAUUUCCCCUGGCUCUGCCCACACUGCAUGUGUAGGGGCUGAACUAUGGGCAAGUGUCUGACCACCCAGGCAGGUGAGUGUGUGUCUUCUAAUGCAAGUCUGUUUCUGUUUUUGUUGUCUUUUUAAACUCAUAGAAUUGAUUGUUGAAAAUAAGACCAUCAACUGCUAAAACAACUACUAAAAUAAUUCUUUUUAAUAUAAAAAUAACUUUGUCAAAUUCACUUUCAGAAGAUUUUUCAGAUGUCCCUGUUGAGAGCAUUGUUCUAGAUAGGUUAUAUUUGAAACUGUGAGCAGAAGCAUGUGAGCCCAUCUGCUAUGAUGAGUAAUAGUCAUUGAGGCCUGAAACAUACAGUGCUUUAAGCAUGACUGUUAUUACAAAGCAUGCUUCUCCCACCCCACCCACCCCCUCAAAGAAGGUAGCCAUUGAAACAUAAGGAUGAUAGAUAGAAUGUAUUACUUCAAAUCUAACUCUUAGCUGGUGGAGGAUUUAGUAAUUUAGUUGCUUUAGGUCUUGUAAAAGCUCCUGCCCCUAACUUUAGGAGAUGAGAAGUUUGACCCUUAAUGUUCUUGAUAUUUUUUUAGAUCAACUCCACAAUUUACUGUGAUCCAAUCUAUCUGCUUUCUAUCUGUUGUGCUCUAUGAUUGGUUCUCAUUUACCUUCAUUUCUGUAUUCUACUUUCCUUAAACUUUAAGGAAAUCUAAUCACAACUCCUGAAGACUUAUCUUUCUUAGAUCUGAAACUUAAGAUCAGUGUAUUAUAAAAUGGAAUCUCUUAGCAGUCACAGCUACAUAAAUUGGGAUUUUAAUAGUUGUCUGUGCUUUGAAUUCUUUUCCUUUAAAUGUCUGUUUCUUUUAUGUAAAGUUUUUCAGUUUGGGGAACGUGUAGUCUUCCCCUCCCUUUUAAUUUCUCACCAGGAUCUAAACCCCCCUUCUCUGUGAAGCUUAAAUCUGCAUUGUACUCUCCCUCCUCCCCCCAUCAGUAUCCAGCAGGUUACCCUUCAGACAAAGAAGGGAAGAAGCCUAAAGGACAGUCAAAGAAGCAGCCCAGUGGAACCACAAAAAGGCCAAUUUCAGAUGAUGACUGUCCAAGUGCCUCCAAAGUGUACAAAGCAUCAGAUUCAGCAGAAGCAAUUGAGGCUUUUCAACUAACUCCUCAACAGCAGCAUCUCAUCAGAGAAGAUUGUCAAAACCAGAAGCUGUGGGAUGAAGUGCUUGCACAUCUUGUGGAAGGACCAAAUUUUCUGAAAAAAUUGGAACAAUCUUUUAUGUGCGUUUGCUGUCAGGAGCUAGUUUACCAGCCUGUGACAACUGAGUGCUUCCACAAUGUCUGUAAAGAUUGCCUACAGCGCUCUUUUAAGGCACAGGUUUUCUCCUGCCCUGCUUGCCGGCAUGAUCUUGGCCAGAAUUACAUCAUGAUUCCCAAUGAGAUUCUGCAGACUCUACUUGACCUUUUCUUCCCUGGCUACAGCAAAGGACGAUGAUCUGCCUGCUUUCACUGUGUUGUUCAUGGUGGCUUUUUGGACAAUAAAGAAUCUAAAAUGGGUGGGGAGGGUGGAAGAAAUGGUGGACUGUAUCUCUCACGUUCUGAAGCAGCUAAUCCUCUUUCCCACAUAGCCAUCAUCUUGUGUGUGUAGUAAGAGGCCCAUUUCUCAACUGUCUUUUAAAUAUCUAAAGGUAGUUCCUGUAACAACUAGUUUUAAUGAGUAAAAAGUCAAAGCCUCAGCUCUAGUUGAUAUCCAAGUUAUGAUUUAUUUUGCAACUACCUCAGGACAGAAAAGAUUUAUGGGGAUUUUAAAAAUCAUUGAAUAACUAGUUAAAUGAAAUUUUAGCUACACACUGCCUCCCAAAUAUUAGUUGUGCCUGGUUCUUGUAAUUUGAUUUUACAGAAAAGGAAAUGACACUUGAGAUCCUUGGAAUGAACACAGCUUCUAAAGUGUGCAUAUACUUUUUUAACGUCUCUUCUUCCAUUACAAUGUGUGUUUGCAAGGACAGGUUCAUUUUUUUUAGCCCACUUUGUGAACUCCAUUGUGCUUUUUUCUGGUGUUUUAUGCAAGUUGACUACUAAUGACUAAUGAGAACAAUAAUGAAUGCAUUGUUGCUGCAUUAGUGUAAUGUGGUGUGGUUUUGCACUUAAAAGAGGUAUUCAUAUGCUCUAGUUGUAAAUGUUCAUGAAAAUCCACUUCUGUACUAGUCGAACUGCUUUUAGUGUCUCACCAGUGGUUUUACAUCUGCAGAGUUUUGAGGGCUGUGCUGACCUUUGAGAGGAUUUGAAAUUGCUUCAUAUUGUGAUCCUAAAUUUUAUAUUCACUAUAUUCCCUAAAGUAUACCUUAAUAAAUAUUUUAUGAUCAGAAGAA